GUGAGGAAUAUUGCGCAAUGCCCGAAAGGGUGACGCAGCGACGCCGCGUGGAGGAUGAAGGCCCUAUGGGUCGUAAACUCCUUUUAUGAGGGAAGAACGGAUUGCUAUAGGCAGUCGUGACGGUACCUCAAGAAAAAGCAUCGGCUAACUACGUGCCAGCAGCCGCGGUAAUACGUAGGAUGCGAGCGUUGUCCGGAUUCACUGGGUGUAAAGGGAGCGCAGGCGGGUCAGCAAGUCAUUGGUGAAAUUCUCGGGCUCAACCCGGGGACUGCCACUGAUACUACUGAUCUUGAGUAUGGAAGAGGUUGGUGGAAUUCAUGGUGUAGCGGUGAAAUGCGUAGAUAUCAUGAAGAACACCGAUGGCGAAGGCAGCCAACUGGUCCAUCACUGACGCUCAUGCUCGAAAGCGUGGGGAUCAAACAGGAUUAGAAACCCGGGUAGUCC
This 444-nucleotide ribosomal RNA is filed under the name uncultured bacterium. Its description in RNAcentral is "bacterial SSU rRNA". It matches the Rfam family "Bacterial small subunit ribosomal RNA", at positions 354 to 796 of the family's 1533-position model. The record is from RNAcentral.